UAUACACUGCGCUGUGACAUGAAGCGGUCUCUGUUGGCCAAGGACUUGACAAAGACCUGUGAAUUCAUCGUUCACUCCGCUCCUCAGAAGGGGAAGUUUAGUCCCAGUCCCGUGCACUUCACGAUUACACCUGAAACCUUACAGAAUGCCAGAGAGGAUCAAGUUAAGGACAAGCUGGGAGGCCUGGGCCCUGGGAGUUCAUUGGCCUCAUCCCUCAGAGGCUGGAUAUGUGUCGUGGGGAGCCUCUCAGACAGGCCCCCGCCCGAUGGCAGGCUGACCACACGCCCUGCGAGCACACCCGCUCUCAGCGCUCCCCCUGCCACCUGGAGGACGGGUGCCCCGAACUCCUGGGAGCCAGAUUGUCCACUUUCUAUCGGACAGAAACACUUCACUGGGGUGGUCCCCACAGGGCGUUCCUUGUGGCUUUUCUAGGUACAGGUUUAUCUGUAAACAUGAAGAACUUUUCUUUCGACAGAACCAUUCAAGUUUUUUGUUGGAAAAUAAGAAAAUAACACAUAAAGCAAAUAAAAUAAAAUUGCUUAUUCACAAAA
RNAcentral lists this small RNA (551 nucleotides) under Pongo abelii (Sumatran orangutan). Its description in RNAcentral is "processed transcript". The record is from RNAcentral. Lineage: Eukaryota; Metazoa; Chordata; Mammalia; Primates; Hominidae.